This 2064-nucleotide long non-coding RNA is filed under the name Equus caballus (horse). Its description in RNAcentral is "lncRNA (ENSECAG00000047319.1)". Lineage: Eukaryota; Metazoa; Chordata; Mammalia; Perissodactyla; Equidae. The record is from RNAcentral.
GCUGGAGUGUCCUCAUGGCCCAGCAACUGGCAUCCUCCAGAGCAAGCAAUCUAAGAGAGCAAGAAGGAAGCUGCAAUGGUUUUUAUAGUCUAGCCUUGGAGUUCACACACUGUUACCUCUGCCGUUCUCUCUAGGUCCCUCAGAACAGCCGUCCUCCAAUGCGGAAGGAGACUAUGCAAAGGUGUGAGUACCAGGAGUCUUCGCUCCUUCUCCCAUGCCCACCACUGGCUACUGGUUCAGCAAGGAGUGACAGAGCCACUGUUUAAUGGGGUUCUCAAAGGAUAAAGAAACACUCAAAGCAAGGGAUCAAGCAGACCCAGCAAGACAGAAAGCAAGCCCCAUUUCAAGAAACCAAAGAUCUGGAGUAGGUUCCUUCUGAAAAACAUCAAGUGGCUAAAAGAGAAAUGACCUGAGAAAGAGAGAAAAUGUAUCUUUGCUGGGAUUACAAUAAUUCAUACUUUCGGGAAAAGCAUGAAACCCAUGAGACAGAAUCGUGCCUCUUCAGUGAAGCAUGUAGGAAGGAGCAUGAACUCAAAGGAAACAGAUCACAGGGGGAGAAGUGAAAGGCUGAACUCGAGGCGAGGAAGACCAUUCCCAGCACUGAGCAGAGCAGCUCAUCAGAGGAAAACACCGGAAACUUGCCUGGGCGAUGCAGCCCCCACUGCAGAGGACACAUUCCUUCCACAUGAACAACAGCAACAUCGUGCUAGGGUAAAGGGGAGGAGAAAACAAGGCCAGAAUUCAUUCCAGAGAAACUUUCUCCAGUGAGUGGCAUAUUUCCUCCACGGCAAGUUGAAGAAACCAAGGCAUAGACAAAGCCAAUGAUUUUUCCAAGACCACAUAGCUGGAAGUGGGAUUUACAAUCGCCAGGUUCACGUGACUUCAAAGUGCCCUCUCAGUUCACAGGACUUCAGACAGAGAGGAACUCUACUUGGAGAUCUGCGCUUAAAGACUACACCUAAGGAGAUUCGCCUGCACUGGGACCUGAUUUAAAGGAUGACGUCCUGGACUCCAGAGCUGAUGCUGUAUAGGCUUGAGACUUUUGGGAGGUAUUGAGAAGGAUGACAGUAUUUUGCAAGUGGGAGGAAUAUGAUGGUUAAAGUAUGUCCACAAAGUAUUUAACAUUAUUUUCAAAAAGUAGAGUGUAAUUCCCCUCCCCUUGAGAGUGGGCUGGACUUAGUGACUCACUUCUAAUGGAUAGAAUUGAGCAGAAGUGACAGUGUGUGACUUCAGAGGCCAGGUCAUAAAAGUCACUGUGUCUUUCUGCUUGCUCUUCCUUGUGGAUGCUGAACUCUGGGGGGACGUUGUGAGCAGUCUUAUGGAGAGGCCCACAUGAAACCCAGGCCUUCUGCCAACAACCAUUUGAGUGAAUCCUUUGGCAAGUGGAUCCUCCAGCCCCAGUCAAGCCUUCAGAUGACUCCAGGCCCAGUCAGCAUCUUAACUGCAACCUCAUGAGAGAACCAGAAACCCAGUUCAGAACUACCCACCCAAGUCACUGCCAGAUUCCUAAUCCUCAGAAACUGACUGAGAAAAUAAAUGUUCGUUGUCUUAAGUUACUAAAUUUCAGGGUAAUCUGUUUGGUAGAGACAGAUAAUUAACACAUCGGUGGUGAAAAAUUACCUGAUAAUAUUUUUAUGUUUGGAUUAGAAAGAAAGUUUUAGAUAAAUCCAAGAAAAUUCUUUUCAUACUACAGUCAUGGAAACUUCGAGUCAUUUGCCAUGAUUCUUGCUCCUGUCCUUUCAGUAUGAGCCCAAAAGUUCCUGUUGUCUUUAUUAUUUAAUUUUCCCCCUACAUUUUCUCUGUUUGGUAGCUGUCAAGGAGCUACACACAUACAGAGAGAGAGAGAGCACAGAAACAUUGGAGAGAUAGAAACAAUAUUACACAAAGGUAGCCACACUGGUAUGUAUAUACCAUAUUAACAUUAUAUAUUUAUUGAUAUAUAUCUGUAUAUACCUAUAUUUUUAUAUAUACAUAUGUAUCUAUAUAUCUGUGUGCAUGUAUAUAUACACAAAUAUAUAUACAAUUGAGUGAUCAAGUACAAAAAAUAAAUCUCUAAGAAUGUAC